Molecule: ribosomal RNA, 751 nt
Filed under: uncultured Bacteroidota bacterium
Lineage: Bacteria; Pseudomonadati; Bacteroidota
Description: bacterial SSU rRNA
Rfam family: Bacterial small subunit ribosomal RNA
Source: RNAcentral
CGAGGGGUAUAGGUUUUCGGACCUAGAGACCGGCGCACGGGUGCGUAACGCGUAUGCAAUCUACCUUUUACAGAGGGAUAGCCCAGAGAAAUUUGGAUUAAUACCUCAUAGUAUUACGACUCGGCAUCGAGAUGUAAUUAAAGUCACAACGGUAAAAGAUGAGCAUGCGUCCCAUUAGCUAGUUGGUAAGGUAACGGCUUACCAAGGCAACGAUGGGUAGGGGUCCUGAGAGGGAGAUCCCCCACACUGGUACUGAGACACGGACCAGACUCCUACGGGAGGCAGCAGUGAGGAAUAUUGGUCAAUGGGCGCAAGCCUGAACCAGCCAUGCCGCGUGCAGGAUGAAGCAUCUAUGGUGUGUAAACUGCUUUUGUACGAGAAGAAACACUCCUACGUGUAGGAGCUUGACGGUAUCGUAAGAAUAAGGACCGGCUAACUCCGUGCCAGCAGCCGCGGUAAUACGGAGGGUCCAAGCGUUAUCCGGAAUCAUUGGGUUUAAAGGGUCCGUAGGCGGUUUUGUAAGUCAGUGGUGAAAGCCCAUCGCUCAACGGUGGAACGGCCAUUGAUACUGCAAGACUUGAAUUAUUAGGAAGUAACUAGAAUAUGUAGUGUAGCGGUGAAAUGCUUAGAGAUUACAUGGAAUACCAAUUGCGAAGGCAGGUUACUACUAAUGGAUUGACGCUGAUGGACGAAAGCGUGGGGAGCGAACAGGAUUAGAUACCCUGGUAGUCCACGCCGUAAACGAUGGAUA